ACGGGUGAGUAACGCGUGGGAAUCUACCCAACCCUGCGGAAUAGCUCUGGGAAACUGGAAUUAAUACCGCAUACGCCCUACGGGGGAAAGAUUUAUCGGGGAUGGAUGAGCCCGCGUUGGAUUAGCUAGUUGGUGGGGUAAAGGCCUACCAAGGCGACGAUCCAUAGCUGGUCUGAGAGGAUGAUCAGCCACAUUGGGACUGAGACACGGCCCAAACUCCUACGGGAGGCAGCAGUGGGGAAUAUUGGACAAUGGGCGCAAGCCUGAUCCAGCCAUGCCGCGUGAGUGAUGAAGGCCUUAGGGUUGUAAAGCUCUUUCACCGGUGAAGAUAAUGACGGUAACCGGAGAAGAAGCCCCGGCUAACUUCGUGCCAGCAGCCGCGGUAAUACGAAGGGGGCUAGCGUUGUUCGGAAUUACUGGGCGUAAAGCGCACGUAGGCGGAUAUUUAAGUCAGGGGUGAAAUCCCAGAGCUCAACUCUGGAACUGCCUUUGAUACUGGGUAUCUUGAGUAUGGAAGAGGUAAGUGGAAUUGCGAGUGUAGAGGUGAAAUUCGUAGA
Molecule: ribosomal RNA, 557 nt
Filed under: uncultured bacterium
Lineage: Bacteria
Description: bacterial SSU rRNA
Rfam family: Bacterial small subunit ribosomal RNA
Source: RNAcentral